Molecule: non-coding RNA, 45 nt
Filed under: Schistosoma curassoni
Lineage: Eukaryota; Metazoa; Platyhelminthes; Trematoda; Strigeidida; Schistosomatidae
Source: RNAcentral
AUCCAGCUGACGAGUCCCAAAAAGGACGGAACGCGAAUCCUGGAC